This 35-nucleotide small RNA is filed under the name Arabidopsis thaliana (thale cress). RNAcentral's name for it is "ATSL214970". Lineage: Eukaryota; Viridiplantae; Streptophyta; Magnoliopsida; Brassicales; Brassicaceae. The record is from RNAcentral.
AUCUCAGAUUCUUCUUCUUCUUCUUCUUCUUCUUC